AUGGAGUACCAGGGACAGCAGCAGCAGGCCCAGGCGGCCAACCGCGUGGACGAGUACGGUAACCCGGUGGCCGGCCACGGCACCGGCGCGGCCACUGGUGGGCAUAUCCAGCCCCUGAAGGACGAGCACCAGGCUGGCGGCGGGAUCCUGCACCGGUCCGGCAGCUCGAGCUCCAGCUCGUCUGAGGAUGAUGGCAUGGGCGGAAGGAGAAAGAAGGGCAUCAAAGAGAAGAUCAAGGAGAAGCUCCCCGGUAGUCACGCUGACCAGCAGCAGACCGCUGGCACCUACGGACAGCAAGGUCAUACGGCAGGGAUGGCCGGCACCGGGGCGCAUGGGGCGCAUGGCACCACGGCCUCCGGCGGCACCCAGGGGCUGCAGGGACACACCGGAAUGACCGACACGGCGACUCACGGCGCCCACGGCACGGGCGAGAAGAAGGGCGUCAUGGACAAGAUCAAGGACAAGCUGCCCGGACAGCACUGA
Molecule: ribosomal RNA, 483 nt
Filed under: Triticum aestivum (bread wheat)
Lineage: Eukaryota; Viridiplantae; Streptophyta; Magnoliopsida; Poales; Poaceae
Description: partial small subunit ribosomal RNA
Source: RNAcentral